UAGGGAAUCUUCCGCAAUGGGCGAAAGCUUGACGGAGCAACGCCGCGUGAGUGAUGAAGGUCUUCGGAUCGUAAAACUCUGUUAUUAGGGAAGAACAAAUGUGUAAGUAACUAUGCACGUCUUGACGGUACCUAAUCAGAAAGCCACGGCUAACUACGUGCCAGCAGCCGCGGUAAUACGUAGGUGGCAAGCGUUAUCCGGAAUUAUUGGGCGUAAAGCGCGCGUAGGCGGUUUUUUAAGUCUGAUGUGAAAGCCCACGGCUCAACCGUGGAGGGUCAUUGGAAACUGGCAAACUUGAGUGCAGAAGAGGAAAGUGGAAUUCCAUGUGUAGCGGUGAAAUGCGCAGAGAUAUGGAGGAACACCAGUGGCGAAGGGGACUUUCUGGUCUGUAACUGACGCUGAUGUGCGAAAGCGUGGGGAUCAAACAGG
RNAcentral lists this ribosomal RNA (429 nucleotides) under Actinomycetes bacterium. RNAcentral's name for it is "Actinobacteria bacterium partial 16S ribosomal RNA". It matches the Rfam family "Bacterial small subunit ribosomal RNA", at positions 355 to 776 of the family's 1533-position model. The record is from RNAcentral. Lineage: Bacteria; Bacillati; Actinomycetota; Actinomycetes.